This is a long non-coding RNA of Piliocolobus tephrosceles (Ugandan red Colobus), 1547 nucleotides long. The record is from Ensembl. Lineage: Eukaryota; Metazoa; Chordata; Mammalia; Primates; Cercopithecidae.
UUUUUUUUUUUUUUUUUUUUUUUUUUUUAUGAAUUUACAAUUUACAGCAUAGCAUUGAACAACUAAAACGAGUAAUGGUGUUAGAAAUGGAAACAAAUGAAAAUCAAAAAUUUUUUCCAAAUAAGAUGAAUAACAAUGAUUCAGAAAAACAUAAUAAUGAAGAACGCCUUGAAAAUAUAAAUAGUCUAGAUGAAAUCUAUUUUUAUCAAUGUGUAGAUGGACAAUGCAUAUUCUUAGAUCCUUUUAUCCUAAAAUUACUUUUUUAUGAGUAUGAUAAUGAUUUAAAUAGAAUACCAAAAUUUCUAUGUGAUAAACAAAUUACAUACAUUGAAUCUUUCGAACUAGACCCCAAAAUGAGAAAUAAACACCCAACUUUGUCACAUUUACCUUUGGGAGUUAACGUUUUUUUUGUUUCUAUAAAUAUAGAUAACCUUGUGUCGAAAAAAACUAAAACAUACUUUUCAAAAGAAAUACUUGAAAGGGAAAAGAAGCAUCGAUUUAUAUUGAGUAAAAAAAGACAGGAGGAAAAGUAUUUUAAGUUGUUAGCGGAUGAAGACAUGAACCGAAAAGAAAAACUUUAUUGGAAUUUGCCUCGAAAUACAAUCAAUUUUUUAGAGGACUCAAUGACUGGAAAUUAUAACAUACAAAGACGUUCUGAGCAUCCUGAUGAUAAAACGUUUCCUAGUUUGACACUGGAAAGUUCUAAACUGUUUCACUAUGACGAACAUUUAACAAAAAAUCAAAUGGAUAGUAUAAAUUUGGCAAGUGUGAAAAAUGUAGAAACUAAGGAAAUGCAAGAGCAGGGACAGAAAAAAGAGCAGGAACAAGAACAGGGACAGAAAAAAGAGCAGGAACAAGAACAGGGACAGAAAAAAGAGCAGGAACAAGAACAGGUACAAGAACAGGAGCAUGACUAUAAGCAAGAACAAGAGCAGGAACAAAAGCAGAAACAAGAACAAAAAUACGAAAAUAAGCGUGAGCAGAAAGAGGGACAGGUUACUAAACAUUAUGUUGGUGAUAGUAAAAAAAAAAAAAAAAAAAAAAAAAAAAAAAAAAAAAACUAGCUUAAUUUAUCAUUUACAUUUUCUAAAUAGUUUUUUUCUAAGAAUGAUUGUUUUGAAGCCUCUAAUUUAUCUUUUAAUUGAAUAUAAAACAUUAUAUUAUUAUUUUCUAUACCUUUAGCAAAUGAUUUUUCUUCAAUUAUUUUAGUUAUAAUAGCUAUUUUUUCAUCUAAAAGUUUUAAUUUUUCAUCAUUACUAAAAGAAGAAUAUAAAAUUUUUGCUCUUUUUAAAUGUGAUACAUUAUUAUUAUAACCAUCAAUACUAGAAUUGGAAUCAUUUUGAUCAAUUUUUUCUUCUUCGUAUUGAUCUGCAUCCUCUUCUAAAAAUUCAAAAGAUUCUUCCAAUAAUUUCCUAUAAACUUUAUCUAUUUUAAAAUUACUACUAUUAUAUUCUUUAUCUUCUCUUAUAUUAUAUCCUAGGUCUUUGUAUAAUGCACUAGUUGAAAUAUUACGAUUAAAUAAAAUAUCUUUAUCACUACUGUUAUCA